GGCCCAAGAGCGGAGGUAGAGGGAACGACGCAUGCUUGAGAAAUGGCGGGAAACAGAGGAGGCUCGAGGCUUGCUCACACGCACACAGCCAACUGCUUCUGGACCGCCUUGCUCACACGCACACAGCCAACUGCUUCUGGACCGCCUGAAAGGCAACCUCGCCCGCCGCGGUGGUGUGGGGCGGGCAUCCCUUGAGACUGUGCUCUGGAGGCCUGGAGAAACAGCUUUCUAUCCUCAGCACUGGGGAGAGCAGGCCUCAAUCCCUGCCUUUGCCUGCCGCCCCUCUUCCUUCCCUCUCAAAGCAUACCCAGCAGCCCCGGCGCUGAGAAACGCGUUACUCUCUUAUCAGCUGUGGGAGAGACAAGACAGACUGGCCUCUGGGCGGAGGGGCCGCCAUUGCCUGCCCUCUGGACCAGGGCCUCACAGAUACCCUCAGCUUCAGGAUUAGGGCUGCGUUGGUUUUUCCCCCCACAUCAGGGGACUUCAACAAGUAACCUCCAGUUCCAUAGAUAAAACUUGUAUUCCCCCCUUCUCCAUGGCAGGGGUUUUGAGCCUAGAGAAGGAAGAUCGGAGCUUCCUGGGGCUCCUGUGAAGCAGGCAGGGGGCAGCACUGGGCCCCGGGAAGAGGCGGAGAAGGCGAGGGAGUGCCUGCGGUGAGCCCAGAGCCUUGGGCCCGUUAUCCUCUGAUGCUGCUCCCCCAACUUUCCUGCCGUCAGUCCCUGACCUUGCCUGAGACCUUGGCGGCUCCCGCACCUCUCUCCCGGCUCCUCCUUGCUGAGAACACAACCCGCAAGGCCCUUCCGCCUGGCUGGACUGAGUCCCCUAUGGAGGCAGCCUGGCAGGGAGCAGGUAUCUUCCUGGCAGAAGAGGACAGACCUGGUAAACUGAGAGACUGUUGAUGCCCCAAUGUUCUGCCUAGCCUGCCUGGAAACUCCAGAAGGAUACAGCAAGAAAGCAGCAUCUGCAAGAAAGCCCUCACCAGGACCAAAUCAGCUGACACCUCAACCUUGGACUACCCAGCUUCCCGAACUGUGAGGUAUAGAUUUUUAUUGUUUAAGUCACCAAGGCUACGGUGUUUUUAAUAGCAGCCCAAGCCCAGGAAUACAUCAUCUGACUCACUAUUUUGAAUCAAACUCUUCAGUUUCUCCAUCAACUUAGCUGGCAGCUCCUGUCCCCAGCAGCAUCAGAGGCCCCAUGAAAAGAGCUCCAGCAGGGGCUCAGCCUGCAUGGGUCCCAUGCGGCAGCCUCAGUGUCAGAGCCUGGAUGGCAGGUGAGGCUCCAGUGACACAACCACAAUGUGAAAGUGUAAGAGUUUUUAACUACUUAUAGAUACUGGAAAGCACAGGGCACACCUGGAGACCACAGACACUGGGGUCAGAGAGCCCAGGCAGGGAGGAGAGAAGGGAACUGUAGGCCAAUGGCUUUAUUGGGUCUAGGGUGUUAUUGACAGGUUUCCAGAAGGGAGCUUUAAUGGGUGUGUUUAAAGCAGGCAAACACUGGGGCAAGAAGAUCACACUGUGACUGAGAGGUGGUCACUUUAAAUUGGAGGGCGAAUGUCACAACUGUUUCAGUUUAAAGGAAGCAGCUGGCGAGAGGGGAGCCCAGCACACUAUGCAAGAGAGAUGCCUCUAAGAUUUUAUCUGUGGCCACCGACUGGAGCCAUUUGGACCGGGUACAGCAGUGGAAACUCUGUGAUGGUGACAAACAUGGGAAUCACUCUGAUGUGACGCAGUUAAAUUUACACCUUAAAAAAUGGAUGCCAAGACAACAUAAACAAGACCCAGGGACACCAACAGGGUAUGGUGCUGUGCCCCAGAGUCAGGGUCCUGGGUUCUUACCCAGGGAAGUGAGAAAUAAAGAUAACUUUUCCCUG
RNAcentral lists this long non-coding RNA (1873 nucleotides) under Homo sapiens (human). Its description in RNAcentral is "HSALNT0398046". The record is from RNAcentral. Lineage: Eukaryota; Metazoa; Chordata; Mammalia; Primates; Hominidae.